GUGAAUCAUCGAAUUUUUGAACGCAAAUUGCACUCUCUCGGGAGAGUAUGACUGUUUGAGGGUCAGCCUAAAAAAAAUAGACAUCGUUGCUGUUUCGCGGUGUCAUCCGUAGGCAACUGGGUCAUCUUAAAUUAUUGGGUUUUAAGUGGCUUAAAAUUUUCUUUACGUUUCCAAGAACGUUACAAAGCUUUACUUCUUACACGUUUUAG
RNAcentral lists this unclassified non-coding RNA (209 nucleotides) under Glomus sp. RNAcentral describes it as "partial contains 5.8S ribosomal RNA and internal transcribed spacer 2". The stretch from base 1 to 65 matches the Rfam family "5.8S ribosomal RNA", at positions 84 to 154 of the family's 154-position model. The record is from RNAcentral. Lineage: Eukaryota; Fungi; Glomeromycota; Glomeromycetes; Glomerales; Glomeraceae.